This is a long non-coding RNA of Canis lupus familiaris (dog), 252 nucleotides long. RefSeq lists it as uncharacterized. The record is from RefSeq and is a predicted model, not a curated record. NCBI's taxonomy places the organism in Eukaryota, Metazoa, Chordata, Mammalia, Carnivora, Canidae. The transcript is spliced from 3 exons.
UGCUUGUGUCCCCGCAGGGUCACCUGGGGAGGCGCGAACUCUAAGGUGACGUGUCCGGAGGAGAAGCCUUCGGGAGGAUCUUACGGGGCAUCUCCUCUGUGUCCCGCCUUCCCUUGAGCGCUAGGAAGUGGAGACGGACCCGAGCCAGCUGGCCAGCAGAGGAAUGUGACCGAGCUCCUCGUUGUGAAGCAGGCCGCUCACGUCACAAAGGACGCCCUGCACUGGUCAAGCCACCGACGUCCCAAAGGUGAG